AUACGGAAGGUCCGGGCGUUAUCCGGAUUUAUUGGGUUUAAAGGGAGCGCAGGCGGAGAUGCAAGCGUGACGUCAAAUUUCGGGGCUCAACCCCGUCUCGCGUCGCGAACUGCGUCCCUUGGUUGCGGGAAGGGGAGGCGGAACUCGUGGUGUAGCGGUGAAAUGCAUAGAUAUCACGAAGAACUCCGACCGCGAAGGCAGCCUUCCGGCCCGUCAACGACGCUCAUGCUCGAAGGUGCGGGUAUCAAACAGGAUUAGAUACCCUGGUAGUCCGCACAGUAAACGAUGGACACCCGCGGUUUGGCCUGUAUGGCUGAGCCGCCAAGCGAAAGCGUUAAGUGUCCCACCUGGGGAGUACGCCGGCAACGGUGAAACUCAAAUGAAUUGACGGGG
RNAcentral lists this ribosomal RNA (393 nucleotides) under uncultured bacterium. RNAcentral's name for it is "partial 16S ribosomal RNA". It matches the Rfam family "Bacterial small subunit ribosomal RNA", at positions 523 to 918 of the family's 1533-position model. The record is from RNAcentral.